CAGCGUUUAGUUUAUUAAAAAUUUAAACUUUGGGAGUUUAAGAAGUAGGUUUGUUCUAUUAUGCUGA
Molecule: transfer RNA, 67 nt
Filed under: Kusala populi
Lineage: Eukaryota; Metazoa; Arthropoda; Insecta; Hemiptera; Cicadellidae
Description: tRNA-Pro
Source: RNAcentral